Chaetomium globosum CBS 148.51 is the source of this 85-nucleotide transfer RNA. It matches the Rfam family "tRNA". From Rfam's summary of the family: Transfer RNA (tRNA) molecules are approximately 80 nucleotides in length. NCBI's taxonomy places the organism in Eukaryota, Fungi, Ascomycota, Sordariomycetes, Sordariales, Chaetomiaceae. The record is from Rfam.
GGUUCUAUAGUGUAGCGGUCAUCACUCCGGAUUCUGAUCCCCUCAGAAUGUUCCGGCAACCCCGGUUCGAUUCCGGGUAGGACCU